UUGCGCAACAGGUAGUUGAGUUAGCAAUAUUCGCAAUCAUUCACUCGUCGGCUCGCCGUACUAUUUAUCUCAGUUUCAAGGCCCGGACGACAUGUCCACGCCGACUCACUCAAUCAGGUGAGCGGCCGCCGCCGAUCCAACAGGGUCGUUUCGGCACCCGGGUCCGCACUGUCCAAUCAGACGGGCGAUAAAGGCGGCGACACAAUUGCCAGCACAGGACAACAUUCCCGAAGGGAGGCCGAGAGGCCUCCCU
This 253-nucleotide small RNA is filed under the name Pseudomonas sp. M30-35. Its description in RNAcentral is "Pseudomonas sRNA P24". It matches the Rfam family "Pseudomonas sRNA P24". From Rfam's summary of the family: P24 is conserved across several Pseudomonas species and in Azotobacter vinelandii. It appears to be consistently located between a hypothetical protein gene and a transcriptional regulator gene (AsnC family) in the genomes of all these species. Lineage: Bacteria; Pseudomonadati; Pseudomonadota; Gammaproteobacteria; Pseudomonadales; Pseudomonadaceae. The record is from Rfam by way of RNAcentral.